AUACGAAAGGUGCAAGCGUUGUUCGGAUUUACUGGGCGUAAAGAGAUCGUAGGUGGUUUGUUAAGUCGGAUGUGAAAUCCCGGGGCUCAACCCCGGAACUGCAUCCGAUACUGGCAGGCUAGAGUUUGGGAGGGGUAAGCGGAAUUCCGUGUGUAGCAGUGAAAUGCGUAGAUAUACGGAGGAACACCUGAGGCGAAGGCGGCUUACUGGACCAAUACUGACACUGAGGAUCGAAAGCGUGGGUAGCAAACAGGAUUAGAAACCCUAGUAGUCC
RNAcentral lists this ribosomal RNA (274 nucleotides) under uncultured bacterium. RNAcentral's name for it is "partial 16S ribosomal RNA". It matches the Rfam family "Bacterial small subunit ribosomal RNA", at positions 523 to 796 of the family's 1533-position model. The record is from RNAcentral.